RNAcentral lists this non-coding RNA (117 nucleotides) under Gorilla gorilla gorilla (western lowland gorilla). Lineage: Eukaryota; Metazoa; Chordata; Mammalia; Primates; Hominidae. The record is from Rfam by way of RNAcentral.
GCUGGGUGUGGUGGCUCACACCUGUAAUCCCAGCACUUUGGGAGGCCGAGGUGGGCGGAUCACCUGAGGUCAGGAGUUCGAGACCAGCCUGGCCAACAUGGUGAAACCCCGUCUCUA